Molecule: long non-coding RNA, 5913 nt
Filed under: Macaca fascicularis (crab-eating macaque)
Lineage: Eukaryota; Metazoa; Chordata; Mammalia; Primates; Cercopithecidae
Description: lncRNA (ENSMFAG00000056466.1)
Source: RNAcentral
CGCAGUGGGAGGACUGAAAUGUGGAAUUGAAAACGUCUUUUUCACAGAGCUGGAUCAAGGCAUGGAAGGGAGGCAGGAUUCUGGGGAGCAGCCAGCGCUGGUGGGAGCGUGGUUCCUGCAGAGACAUGGGAGGACACCCUGGCACUCAGCCCUGCAUGCGCAGUCCAGCCCACAGCUCCUUCUCAGGAAGUGACACUCUAGGCUUACAAAAUUAACAUGACCAGGUCCGAUGUUUCCCUCACUGAAUCCACACAACAGCACUUCAACCCCUCCGCACUCCCCGAUGGGGAAACCAAGGCUCCCAGCGGCAAUGCCAGUCACCCAAGAAUGUGUGACUUCCUAAUGGCACAUUAGGAAGCUUGAUCUAUUAAAUGAUACUUAUUUAUACCGACUGUACCACCUGUAUCAGGAAACAGAUGGCACACUCAAAAUAGAUAAGUCAAGGAGAUUUCUUUGUGCACUACUGACAAGGUGUGGGUGAGUAUGGUGCUGGCUUGGUGGCAGCCAAGCUGUUAGCCCCUAGGAAGGAAAGGCAAGAAAGUGGGUCUCAAGCCCAGGAGGGGACUGUGCAAAGCAGCCUCUGUAGACCCAGGACACAGCCCUCUCCAGGCGGCCCUGUGGAAUGGAGUCACUGAGACCGCUGCCCUGCCCUUGUCCUCUCCCCUCACUCCCUCUCACUCUUGCCAGAUCUAUCCCAAGCAGAAGCCCGGGGCAUGGGAACCCUUGAUGUGGUUCCUGCAGGUCAGCCUCGGGGCAGAGAGCAGGGAGGAGAAGGCAUGUGGAGCCGAUGAACUUGGACUAAGAAAGUAACACUGUGCCUGGCCACUCACGAGUCUGGGAUAACAGAAAUAGACAAAACCAGCUGGAACAUUGCUAAUGUUCGUCCCAAGGACACGCUGAAGCUGUGACAUGUCAGAACGACCACUGCUUUCUCAUUCACAGAAAGACCUUGUUCUCUCAAGCCACAGGCUGUUGAAAACUCUGCUGUCUGCAGUUGCAGUAGUAAGAGGCAGUAUCCCACCUCUGGAUGGAAGUCACUCUGAUACAGAGAAGCUGCUUCAAUUUCCACUCCAGCUGUAAAGUUUCAGAUGAAGGAAUCCUAGGCACAAAAUUCCACAUCCGUUUUAAUGUCAUGAUUUCCAAAGAAACAGGACCCUCCAUCCACUCUGCCAUCCAGUCCUGAGGCUGACCCAUUGUAUUAGUCCAUUCUCAUGCUGCUGACAAAGACACACCCGGGACUGGGUAAUUUAUAAAGAAAAAGAGGUUUGCUGGACUCACAGUUCCACAUGGCCGAGGAGCCCUCACAAUCAUGGUGGAAGGUGAAAGGCACGUCUUACAUGGCCGCAGACAAAAGAGAAUGAGAGCCAAGUGAAAUGGGUUUCCCUUUAUCAAACCGUCAGAUCUCAUGAGGCUUAUUCACUACCAUGAGAACAAUAUGGGGGAAACCAUCCCCAUGAUUCAGUUAUCUCCCACCAGGUCCCUCUUACAACAUGUGAGAAUUAUGGGAGCUACAGUUCAAGAUGAGAUUUGGAUGAGGACACAGCCAAACCGUGUCACCCAUCGACAUGCAGCACUGCUUUGUUUCAGCUUAUAAAAUCAAGACUGCAUUUAAAUUUCACCCAAGCUCCACUCUUCUGCAAGUCCUAUAAUAAUUUUGUCUCUUUGUUUUUUAAUUAUUUAUUUAUUUAUUUAUUUAUUUAUUUAUUUUGGUGAGACAGGAUGUCACUCUGUUGCCCAGGUUGGAGUGCAGUAAGUGAUCAUGGCUCACUGCAGUCUCAAACUCCUGGGCUCAAGUGAUCCUCCAGCUUCAGCCUCCGGAGUAGCUGGGACUACAGGUGUGUGCCACCAUGCCUGGCUAAUUUUCCUUCUUUUUUGUAGAGACAGGGAUCUCCCUAUGUUAUCCAGGCUGGUCUUGAGCUCUCAGCUUCAAGCAAUCAUCCUGCCUCAGCCUCUCAAAGUGCUGGGAUUGCAGGCAUAAUAAUUCUGUAUUUUCCCUUUCAGGUGAAUGCCCCAAAACUGGUGUGCACUGUUCCUCACUGCUCCAAUCCAAUAACCCUGACCUAAUCAGACUUCAUGUGUGCCCCUGGUGUUUGGGCUUGGGCAAGGAUCAAGGGAGAAAUUGGCUUAACUCUCCCUUCCCCCUUACGCUUGAGUGUAAUGUGAUGGCCACUUUCUAUCAGACUGUGUUGGUGUUUAUGAGCCUCCCUCAAGCUUUCAGGAAAGAGCAUGGGUUUUAAUCCUAGUAGGGAAACUGCUUUUCCACACAGGACAUGUUUAGCAAUUUUCUCUCUUCCUUUCGAAUUUUCUCUUUGUCCAGUUCACUGUCAUUUUCUUCCCCUUCUAUUCUGCUGGGCAUUCUGUGAGUCCUUUUGAAUGGAGGUUGGACCUCUCCUGCCUCUCUGCCUCCAGGGGAGGACUUUGAGCUCUUACAUAGCAAGUACUUUACAGGGAGAGAUGGGACAGGCUGCACCACACACACCUGGGGUGUGGAGGGCCCCCUGCCCUGGCGAGUGUGAGGGCAGUUGAGAGAUGGGUUGGGUUUUUUGGUUCCCUUGGAGGGAGUUCUCAGUUGCUUUUCUGAUUCAGAAAUGGAGCAGCAGCCCUCUCCACACACAUCUUCCUUGGCAGAGCCCCUCUGCCCGGAGCAGCAGGUUGCUUAGAUUCAGAUUAAGGGUCUUCCUGCUCCUGAGGUCUAAGAGUCACCUGCUCCUAAGCCAGGGCCCUCUGUUCCCCUCUCCUCUCUCUCUUCCAUCACUGUCAAGGAUAAGGGGUGCAGCACUUGAACCCCACGUGGAUAUUGCCUAUCAGGCUCACUGUGGGGCUCAUGUUGGUGUGCUGAAGUUUGUGCACCCCCCCACCUCCAUUCCCACCUUCCACCUCUCACUGGGGAGGAUGCUGUCUGCAUUCAUCACCAUCUUGACUCAGGACUAGACUUUAGGUUUCUUCAGAAAUUGGUGGAAUCUUCACUCUUAAGCUUCCAGUUUGGGUGCUUCUUUCCAGUGGCCACUAUCACAGGACCCCUGAGACCCUUACGUUCAGACCCAUGCCAGGCUGAAAGGAGAAGCACCACAUCAGACAUCCAAGUGUUGAUUCCGCCAUGGGGUCAGCCCAUGCUGUCAGCCCAGCCAGGCAACAGGUUCGGGGAGCUCGACUUUGGGCUUGGGUAUAGCAGAGGGGAACGUUGCUUCCUCUCUGCCCCUUGCUGGUUCUGCCAGUGGGGAUUGCUGGGCAGCCCAAACCCCACGAAUGAGGAGCGGAGCCAGUGCUGCUUCAGCGUGGCCUGCGAGAGUGGGUUAGGAAGCCCAGGCAUCGGCCCCUGACUGCUACUGUUUGGAUGGAGACUUCCCAAUGUGUCUAAUGAGGUUCUGUCAAAACCCCCGGGCUGCGGGCUCUUGGGAGGUAGUCGAGUAGCAUUUGACUUCUUAUAUUUCUUCAUUUAUUUACUUCUAACUGUGGUAAAUGCAUAUGAUGUAAAAUUGGCCAGCGUAACCAUUUUUAGGUGUACAGUUUAGUGGCAUUAAGCACAUUCACACUGUUGUGCAGCCAUCACCACCAUCCAGCUGCCACGCUCUUCAACCUCCCAAACAGAAACUCUACACAUUCAACAACUCCCCACUUCUCUCUCCUGCCAGCCCGACAACCCCCAUUCUACUGCCCGUCUGUAUGAACUUGACCACUCCAAUACCUCAUGUGGGUAAAAUCAUGCAAUGUUUGUCCUUUCAUGACUGGCUUAUUUCACUGGAUAGAGUGACCUCAGGGUCUAUCCACGUCACAACAUGUGUAGACUCUCCUUCCUCUGUAAGGCUGAGUAGUAUUCCACUGUAUAACAUAAGCCACGUUUUGCCCGUGCAUCCAUCCAUCCAUGCACACUUCACUUGCUUCCACUCUUGGAUUCUUGUGAACACAGGUGUUUGGGUGUCCUCUCGGCGGCAUACAUUUUGACUCCUGCCAAUCAAAGAUAUUCAACAGACAUCUUCUGAUGUCUGUUGAACAGAAUGGAUCUGAGCGAGGAGCUCAUGAAUCAUAUGAUCUCCCCAUAGCCCUGGGACCACAAAACUGUGAGAGGAGGAGGCCUGAGGACCUCUGUAAAUCAGGGAUGAUAGUUCAAGCUUGUGGGGAAAAUUCCAACUGUGUGGCUCUUUAGACUAAACAAGUCAGCAUCCCCCAUCCUUCCCAGUCCCCAUAGAAAACAGAAAGAGCAUGCCUGUUCUAGAGAUUUUGACUUCUUGGAAGUUCUCCCUCAGCCAGCAGCGCCAUCCCUGAAACCGUCAGGGAAAAGUGCUCUUCAUUUGUCCACGUGCCCUUGGCUGUUCUUAGUGGGAAGAAGCAAGCCUGGCUCUAAUUUAGUAUGCCUUUCCUCCCGCGAAUGUUGCAGGGGUCCUGCGUCAUCUUCAGGACCCUGUAAUGGAGUUUCCAAGGGGCUUGCCUCUCUGGUCCUCAACUCACUCGUGAGCCCUCUUGGCAGUCUGCACAACACCAUGUUGAUUCGUGACAGUUCUCCCAGUCCCUAAGCGGGAUGUUUGUGCAUUAGGAGGUUUGUGCCCUCCUUGCCAAGGGCCCAUCUCUCUCCCUCAGCCACUGUUGGCAGCUCUCAAGCUUCCCCUACCUUUACCAGAUGAGGAGAGCAGGACGGGACUGGGACUCUGAGCACAGCCUCCGCCGCAGACCCAUGUGUGUCGGGCCCCACACCACCCCAGUGGAGGGUGGUGACUGAUUUGGUCCUAGUUCCCCGGGUGGAAACUCUGCCUGUCCACCGCAGGUCCCUGAUGCUGGAGAGUAGAAGGUCACAGUCUGGGGGAGUUGACAUCCGGCACCAAAGGCUACUCAGGAACAAGGUUUUGCUGGGGGGAAAGCUACCCUCCUCUCUUACACUGUGGAGGCUCAGCUCUCCAGAGGAGCUGAGUUGUUGGCGGUAUUGCAAACUCACUCUGGCAUUGGGCCUGGAGCCCACAGGCCCAACACAAGAAGCUGGGCUAAUUAUAGCCAUCUCCAGCCUCUCUCAGACGUUCUGGGACCAUCUCCAGCAAGAAGCUCAGGGGCACUGGUCUAUGACGUCCAUACCCCGUGUCACAGCAGGCAACACAUCAUCAGCGGAGCUGCGAGCAACCAGCUCCUGCUGGGAAGGCCCAGACACUGGAAUUCAGACAGCAUUGACCUCAGAGAUGGCCCUGCCCCUGAGGAACAGAAAAGGGAAACCAGCUGGAAGUCGAGUGUGUCCUUCCAUGAGCCUGGCAUCAGCUACAGAGGGUAGCAAGAAAGGCCGGAGCCACAAGGCAGUGCCAAUGAGACAAGUAACCAAGGGACUCGUUGUAAAAAGCCUUCAUGAAUGGCACCAUGGCCAAAGCUGGGAGUGGGCUCACAUGCUCAGCACAAGUGCGAAUCUUACACUGUGUGGAUCAAGGCUCCCAGGCCUGUCAGCACCACAAGGCAGAGCCCCAGACUCCUGAGGCCUCAGCUUUCCACCCUCAGCACUACUACAAUUUGGACCACAUAAUUCCUUUUUGCUGGCUGUCUUGUCCAUUGUAAGAUGUUUAUUUAGCAGCAUCCCUGACUUCUACCUACCCUAUGCCGGUAGCAAUCCCCACUCCCAGUAUGACAAUCAAAAAUGUCUCCAGGUGGGGCACGGCAGCUUAUGCCUGUAAUCCUAGAACUUUGGGAGGCUGAGGCAGAUGAAUUGCCUGAGCUCAGGAGUUCGAGACCAGCCUGGGCAACAUGGUGAAACCCCAUCUCAACUAAAAAUACAAAAAUUAGCCAGGGGUGGUGGCAUGUACCUGUAGUCCCAGCUAUGUCGGAGGCUAAAGUGGGAGGAUUACUUAGGUCCAGGAUGUCGAGGCUGCAGUGAGUCAUGUUUGUGCCACUGCACUCCAGCCUGGGUGACAAAGGGAGAUCCUGUCUCAAAAAAAAAAAAAAAAA